This 779-nucleotide ribosomal RNA is filed under the name uncultured Acidimicrobiales bacterium. RNAcentral describes it as "bacterial SSU rRNA". It matches the Rfam family "Bacterial small subunit ribosomal RNA", at positions 8 to 796 of the family's 1533-position model. Lineage: Bacteria; Bacillati; Actinomycetota; Acidimicrobiia; Acidimicrobiales. The record is from RNAcentral.
AGAGUUUGAUCCUGGCUCAGGACGAACGCUGGCGGCGUGCUUAACACAUGCAAGUCGAGCGAGGUCCAUCCAGUCGCAAGACUGGGGAAGACCUAGCGGCGAACGGGUGAGUAACACGUGAGCAACCUGCCCCGAAGACUGGGAUAACACCGGGAAACCGGUGCUAAUACCGGAUGUCCUCCUCUGAUCGCAUGGUCUAAGGAGGAAAGGAAUUUUGCUUCGGGAGGGGCUCGCGGGCUAUCAGCUUGUUGGUGAGGUAACGGCUCACCAAGGCGACGACGGCUAGCUGGUCUGAGAGGACGACCAGCCACACUGGGACUGAGACACGGCCCAGACUCCUACGGGAGGCAGCAGUGGGGAAUCUUGCGCAAUGGGCGAAAGCCUGACGCAGCAACGCCGCGUGGGGGAUGAAUGCCUUCGGGUUGUAAACCCCUUUCAGCAGGGACGAAAAUGACGGUACCUGCAGAAGAAGCCCCGGCCAACUACGUGCCAGCAGCCGCGGUAAUACGUAGGGGGCGAGCGUUGUCCGGAUUUAUUGGGCGUAAAGAGCUCGUAGGCGGCUUGGCAAGUCGGGUGUGAAACCUCCAGGCUCAACCUGGAGACGCCACUCGAUACUGCUAUGGCUAGAGUCCGGUAGGGGACCACGGAAUUCCUGGUGUAGCGGUGAAAUGCGCAGAUAUCAGGAGGAACACCGGUGGCGAAGGCGGUGGUCUGGGCCGGAACUGACGCUGAGGAGCGAAAGCGUGGGUAGCAAACAGGAUUAGAUACCCCCGUAGUCC